CCCUAGAGGAGCCUGUUCCAUAAUCGAUAAACCCCGAUCCACCCCACCCUCUCUUGCUCAGCCUAUAUACCGCCAUCUUCAGCAAACCCUGAUAAAGAUUACAAAGUGAGCGCAAACGCCUCCCCGCAAAAACGUUAGGUCAAGGUGUAGCCCAUGAGACGGUAAAAAAUGGGCUACAUUUUCUGUAUCAGAAAACCCACGAAAACUCUUAUGAAAUUUGAGAGUCCAAGGAGGAUUUAGCAGUAAAUUAAGAAUAGAGUGCUUAAUUGAACGAGGCCAUAAAGCGCGCACACACCGCCCGUCACUCCCCUCAAAUAUAUUCAAGGAACAUCUUAACUAAACACCCCGAUGUCUAUAUAGAGGGGAUAAGUCGUAACAUGGUAAGUGUACUGGAAGGUGCACUUGGAC
RNAcentral lists this ribosomal RNA (408 nucleotides) under Macaca silenus (liontail macaque). Its description in RNAcentral is "partial 12S ribosomal RNA". It matches the Rfam family "Bacterial small subunit ribosomal RNA", at positions 925 to 1522 of the family's 1533-position model. Lineage: Eukaryota; Metazoa; Chordata; Mammalia; Primates; Cercopithecidae. The record is from RNAcentral.